AACUUUCAACAACGGAUCUCUUGGUUCUGGCAUCGAUGAAGAACGCAGCGAAAUGCGAUAAGUAAUGUGAAUUGCAGAAUUCAGUGAAUCAUCGAAUCUUUGAACGCACAUUGCGCCCCCGGGUAUUCCCGGGGGCAUGCCUGUUCGAGCGUC
RNAcentral lists this ribosomal RNA (153 nucleotides) under uncultured fungus. Its description in RNAcentral is "5.8S ribosomal RNA". It matches the Rfam family "5.8S ribosomal RNA". Rfam says of the family: 5.8S ribosomal RNA (5.8S rRNA) is a component of the large subunit of the eukaryotic ribosome. It is transcribed by RNA polymerase I as part of the 45S precursor that also contains 18S and 28S rRNA. Lineage: Eukaryota; Fungi. The record is from RNAcentral.